AGUGAACGCUGGCGAUAGGCCUAACACAUGCAAGUCGAACGGCAGCACAGUAAGAGCUUGCUCUUACGGGUGGCGAGUGGCGGACGUGUGAGGAAUACAUCGUAAUCUACUUUUUCGUGGGGGUUAACGUAGGGAAACUUACUCUAAUACCGCAUACGACCUACGGGUGAAAUCAUUGGAUCUUCGGACCUUGCGCGAUUGAAUGAGCCGAUGUCGGAUUAGCUAGUUGGCGGGGUAAAGGCCCACCAAGGCGACGAUCCGUAGCUGGUCUGAGAGGAUGAUCAGCCACACUGGAACUGAGACACGGUCCAGACUCCUACGGGAGGCAGCAGUGGGGAAUAUUGGACAAUGGGCGCAAGCAUGAUCCAGCCAUACCGCGUGGGUGAAGAAGGACUUCGGGUUGUAAAGACCUUUUGUUGGGAAAGAAAAGCAGCAGGUUAAUACCCCGCUGUUCUGACGGUACCCAAAGAAUAAGCACCGGCUAACUUCGUG
This 492-nucleotide ribosomal RNA is filed under the name uncultured bacterium. RNAcentral describes it as "partial 16S ribosomal RNA". It matches the Rfam family "Bacterial small subunit ribosomal RNA", at positions 29 to 507 of the family's 1533-position model. The record is from RNAcentral.